This is a long non-coding RNA of Gossypium arboreum, 3558 nucleotides long. RefSeq lists it as uncharacterized. The transcript has 2 exons. Lineage: Eukaryota; Viridiplantae; Streptophyta; Magnoliopsida; Malvales; Malvaceae. The record is from RefSeq and is a predicted model, not a curated record.
GUAGCUAGACUUCGAUUCUGCGAAAUCAAACUCUGAAUAUCUAUCUGAUUCAUAAAACAUCUGUAAUAAACACUGGAAUAUUAAUUGAUGUAUAAAAAUUCGUAAUCAAGAUAAUACGAUAUGAGUACAAGAGGCCGUGGACGGAGCUGAGGAAGUGUUCGAACGAGAUCUUCGUCUUCGAGACAUAUGCCGGCGGUGGAUGCACCGGUACCACCGGCAACAGAGGUAGAGUCUCAUGACCGCGGUGCCGAGGAUGAUGUCCUGUCACAGGCAAUGCUUCGUGUUCUGGAAAGGGUUACCGGGACAAGUUCGGGCAACAGAAUUCGAGGAUCGAUUUCUGAACGACUCCGGGCCAACGGAGCUUAGAUCUUUAGAGGUGCGUCUGGUAUAGCCCCGAAUGUGGCAGAAUAUUGGUUGGAGGCCACAGAAUGGAUUAUGGACAACUUGGACUACUCUGAGGAGAUUGUGAGUGGGGUAUCUGUACUAAGUCAUUUGAGUCACUCGGUUAGGGUAGACAAACUAUAUAGGGAUGUACCCUUAGAAACUCAAGGUAAGAUUUUCCCUGGAGAUCUGAUGGAGUUACCAUUCGGAGAGUUUGAUCUCAUUUUAGGAAUGGACUGGCUUGUUAAGCAUAAAGCGACUCUGGAUUGUGCUGCUAAACGAAUGGUGUUAAGGACCACAAAAGAUGAGGAGGUUAUGGUGAUAGGUGAGCGAAGGGAUUAUUUGUCCAAUGUGGUGUCGGCAUUAAGAGCCGAAAAGUGGAUUCAGAAAGGUUAUGAGGUCUAUUUGGCAUUUAUAAGUCAGUCAGAAGAGGAGGGACUGACAGUGGAUAAGGUUAGGACCGUAAAGAAGUUCCAAGAUGUUUUUCCGGAGGAGCUUCAGGAUUGCCUCCGAAUCGAGAAGUUGAGUUUGGAAUAGACUUGUUGCCUGAAAUGGCGCCUGUGUCAAUCACACCGUAUAGGAUGGCACCAAGGAGUUAGUAGAGUUAAAUGCUCAAAUCCAAGAGUUGUUGGAUAGGGGCUUUAUUAGGCCAAGCGUGUCUCCAUGGGGAGCACCAGUGCUAUUCGUGAAAAAGAAGGAUGGUACGAUGCGGAUGUGCAUUGAUUAUCGCCAGUUGAACAAACUGACGAUUAAGAAUAAGUAUCCACUGCCAAGGAUUGACGAUCUAUUCGACCAGCUUAGAGGAGCUUCUGUAUUUUCCAAGAUCGACCUUCGAUAUGGAUAUCAUCAGUUAAGGGUCAAGGAGACAGAUAUCCAAAAGACGACAUUUAGGACUCGGUAUGGUCAUUACGAGUUUCUGGUUAUGCCAUUUAGACUAACGAACGCUCCUGCAGCAUUUAUGGAUCUGAUGAAUCGUGUGUUCCAACCAUUUUUGGAUCAGUUCAUAGUCAUCUUUAUUGACGAUAUCCUGGUAUAUUCUGAAACUAAAACGAAACAUGAUGAACAUCUCCGUAUAGUGCUGUAAGUAUUAAGGGAGAAGGAACUCUUUGUGAAGUUCAGCAAGUGUGAAUUUUGGUUGAGGGAGGUAACUUUCUUAGGACAUGUGGUCUCUGCUGAGGGGAUUAAAGUGGACCCUCGGAAAAUUGAAGCGAUUUUGGAAUGGAAGCCGCCUAGGUCAGUGUCGGAAAUACGGAGUUUCCUAGGUUGGCAGGAUACUACAGAAGGUUUGUGGAAGGUUUUUCUGUGAUGGCAGCACCUCUGACAAAACUCAUAAGGAAAGGAGUACCAUUUGUAUGGACUAAGAAGCAGUAAGAAGCUUUUGAGAAGUUGAAGAAAGUUCUGACUGAAGCACCUGUGUUAAUUCAACUGGAGUCUGGGAAGGAUUUUACUGUGUACAGUGACGCAUCACACGUGGGUUUAGGCUGCAUGUUAAUGCAAGAGGGUAAGGUGGUUGCAUAUGCAUCACGAUAGCUUAAACCUCAUGAGGGAAACUAUUUGACUCAUGAUUUAGAGUUGGCAGCAGUGAUAUUUGCACUUAAGAUUUGGAGACAUUACUUGUACGGAGAAAGGUGUAUUAUAUACACUGACCAUAAGAGUCUUAAGUAUUUGUUGACUCAAAAGGAGCUGAACCUUAGGCAAAGGAGAUGGAUUGAAUUGCUUAAGGAUUAUGACUGUUCGAUCGAGUAUCACCCAAGCAAGGCUAAUGUGGUAGCCGAUGCUCUAAGUCAUAAGUCAGAUCUCGAUCCGAAAGCAAUGUUUGCUCGUCGAGUCUCAGAUGAUGAUGGAAGUCUGUUGGCUGAGUUGCAAGUGAGGCCAACCUGGGUGGAUCAGAUUAAGGAAAAAUAGUUGAACGAUGAGUCUUUGGUCGCUCGUUUUCAACAAGUUAAGGAAGGGGAAACUUCUAAGUUUGGGAGCCAGAAGAGACGAUGCAACAGCAAUACCCUCAUCUGUUUGGAUUAGGUAAAUUUCGAGGACGAAAUUUCUUUAAGGAGGGUAGAGUUGUAACGCCCCAAUUUUCGGGAAUCCUGUGAAUGUUGGCAUAGGUUUAAUUAUGUUAGUGGGCCUCUAGAAAGCCCAAACUUAAGAUAUAACCCGACAAUUUUAGUUAAUUUUUGUUCCAUAAGAAAAAGGGGGUGAAAUUAUGAAAUAGGACCUAUGUGAAAAUGUUUGAAAAUGCUAUAGGCUAAAUUGAAGUGGCCAAAUAAAUAGGAGUGCAAAAUAGGAGGAUUUGCAUGACAAACCUCCCAUUUUACAUGUAGUAGCUGGCCAUCAUGUUGUUGUAGACAAAAUGUGCACUUGAUAUCCAUAAUUUAUGGUACAAAUUGACAUAAAUUGAUAAUGGGUUAGGUAAAUGUUCCAUGAUAAUGGGUUAGGUAAAUGUUCCAUGAUAAUGAGUUAGGUAAAUGUUCUAUGAUGGGAAUUUCAUAUCUUUUGUAUUAAAGAAUUAAAUGGAUGAAAUAUGAAGUUUUAUUAAAAGAAAAAGGGGUGAAAAGAACAAAGUUUUGUCCAUCUUUGUUCAUCAUAGCUGAAAGUUAGAGAAGAGAAAAGAGAGGAGAAAGCUCUUGAGUAUUUGGUCAUUAGGAGGAGGAAAAUUGAAGGCAGUUCGUGUGUGGAUCUCGUCAGCAUAUCGUCGCAAACAGGUGUGUAACUAACACCCUCUUUCUUAGUCUAGAUCGGCAAAAGCCGAAAAGCCGAAAUGCCGAAAACUAGUAUUUUGUAGAUUUGCGAGUGUGCGAAUGCUCGUGAGGUAAAUCGAUUAAUAUUUUUGGUAAGCUGCAAAAUUUGGACUGCAAAGUGCAUGAUUUCUGUGCCCUCGAUAUUUUUGGGCUUAAUGGGCCAAAAUUGGAAUGAUGGGCCAACGGGCCCAAUUCGGUAAGAACCCUCGGUAGUGAUUCUAUUAGUACGUGAAAGGUAGGAAUAUGCAUGAAAACCCUAAAAUGGAUAAAUUACUGAAAUACCUUUAAAAGUGAAAAAUUUACAAUUUUACUCCUAGGAGAUAAAUUAUUGAAAUACCCCUAGGGUUAAAUUGACCUAAAUGCAUGUUUGACUGUUGUUAUUUACUGCAUGCCAUGUUGUUAUUAUCUGAUGCAUGGGACUGGGAUAUUGACGGAGGAAGUA